Molecule: ribosomal RNA, 406 nt
Filed under: uncultured bacterium
Lineage: Bacteria
Description: partial 16S ribosomal RNA
Rfam family: Bacterial small subunit ribosomal RNA
Source: RNAcentral
AUUGAACGCUGGCGGCAGGCUUAACACAUGCAAGUCGAACGAGUGGCGGACGGGUGAGUAAUGCUUGGGAAUCUGCCUUAUGGAGGGGGAUAACGACGGGAAACUGUCGCUAAUACCGCGUACCAUAGGAUGUACCCAAGUGGGAUUAGGUAGUUGGUGGGGUACUGGCGUACCAAGGCGACGAUCUCUAGCUGGUCUGAGAGGAUGACCAGCCACACCGGGACGGAGACACGGCCGUGACUCCUACGGGAGGCAGCAGGGGGGAAUAUUGCGCAAUGGGGGCAAGCCUGAGGCAGCCAUGCCGCGUGAAUGAAGAAGGCCUUCGGGUUGUAAAGUUCUUUCGGUGACGAGGCGUUAAUCACAGAAGAAGCACCGGCUAACUCCGUGCCAGCAGCCGCGGUAAUUC